This 152-nucleotide unclassified non-coding RNA is filed under the name uncultured Cephalotheca. Its description in RNAcentral is "sequence contains ITS2". The record is from RNAcentral. Lineage: Eukaryota; Fungi; Ascomycota; Sordariomycetes; Cephalothecales; Cephalothecaceae.
CAACCCUCAAGCACUGCUUGGCGUUGGGGCGCUACGCGCUGAGCGUAGGCCCCUAAAAUCAGUGGCGGACCCGCCGUGGCUCCGGGCGUAGUAGCAACACCUCGCCCUGGGACCGCGGCGCGCUCCGGCCGUUAAACCCCCACUACAUCGAA